Small nucleolar RNA from Oncorhynchus kisutch (coho salmon), 84 nucleotides. The record is from Ensembl. NCBI's taxonomy places the organism in Eukaryota, Metazoa, Chordata, Actinopteri, Salmoniformes, Salmonidae.
UGCAAGUGAUGUUGUUCUCACGAUGGUCUUCCAAGCCUUCAUGGCUUUGAAGAAAUUGCCUAAAGGCAACACUGAUGCAGUACA